ACUCCAGUGACGCAGUGGUUAGCGUGUCGUUCUUAUACUAUUCUGGCAAUGCCGAAUAAUAUGACCUGCAUGGGGAAUGCGAAAGUCGUGGGUUCGACACCCACCUGGAGUA
Molecule: non-coding RNA, 112 nt
Organism: Blumeria graminis
Lineage: Eukaryota; Fungi; Ascomycota; Leotiomycetes; Helotiales; Erysiphaceae
Source: Rfam